UGGUGGAGUGAUUUGUCUGCUUAAUUGCGAUAACGAACGAGACCUUAACCUGCUAAAUAGCCCGGCUAGCUUUGGCUGGUCGCGGGCUUCUUAGGGGGACUAUCGGCUCAAGCCGAUGGAAGUUUGAGGCAAUAACA
This 137-nucleotide ribosomal RNA is filed under the name uncultured eukaryote. Its description in RNAcentral is "partial 18S ribosomal RNA". It matches the Rfam family "Eukaryotic small subunit ribosomal RNA", at positions 1299 to 1458 of the family's 1831-position model. The record is from RNAcentral.